RNAcentral lists this transfer RNA (95 nucleotides) under Moelleriella libera RCEF 2490. RNAcentral describes it as "Aschersonia aleyrodis RCEF 2490 tRNA". It matches the Rfam family "tRNA". From Rfam's summary of the family: Transfer RNA (tRNA) molecules are approximately 80 nucleotides in length. Their secondary structure includes four short double-helical elements and three loops (D, anti-codon, and T loops). Further hydrogen bonds mediate the characteristic L-shaped molecular structure. tRNAs have two regions of fundamental functional importance: the anti-codon, which is responsible for specific mRNA codon recognition, and the 3' end, to which the tRNAs corresponding amino acid is attached (by aminoacyl-tRNA synthetases). tRNAs cope with the degeneracy of the genetic code in two manners: having more than one tRNA (with a specific anti-codon) for a particular amino acid; and 'wobble' base-pairing, i.e. permitting non-standard base-pairing at the 3rd anti-codon position. The record is from Rfam by way of RNAcentral. Lineage: Eukaryota; Fungi; Ascomycota; Sordariomycetes; Hypocreales; Clavicipitaceae.
GGCCCGUUAGUCUAGGGGUUAGGACAUCAGAUUUUGACGCGGCCGUCCGGCCCAUCCACCUUCUGAAAACACCAGUUCGAAUCUGGUACGGGCCU